Molecule: ribosomal RNA, 500 nt
Filed under: uncultured Sphingobacteriales bacterium
Lineage: Bacteria; Pseudomonadati; Bacteroidota; Sphingobacteriia; Sphingobacteriales
Description: bacterial SSU rRNA
Rfam family: Bacterial small subunit ribosomal RNA
Source: RNAcentral
UUGCCAGCCCGCUCAGAAACUCAAAGGCAUUGACGGGGGCCCGCACAAGCGGUGGAGCACGUGGUUUAAUUCGAUGCAAACCGAAGAACCUUACCUGGGUUUGACAUGUAUGUUGACGUAUUCUGAAAGGGAUACUUCUUCGGACAAUAUACAAGGUGCUGCAUGGUUGUCGUCAGCUCGUGCCGUGAGGUGUCGGGUUAAGUCCCAUAACGAGCGCAACCCCUAUCAUUAGUUGCCAUCAGGUCAAGCUGGGGACUCUAAUGAAACUGCCUACGCAAGUAGUGAGGAAGGUGGGGAUGACGUCAAAUCAGCACGGCCCUUACGUCCAGGGCUACACACGUGCUACAAUGGCCGGUACAAAGGGCAGCUACCUGGUGACAGGAUGCUAAUCUCAAAAGCCGGUCUCAGUUCGGAUCGGAGUCUGCAACCCGACUCCGUGAAGCUAGAAUCGCUAGUAAUCGCGCAUCAGCCAUGGCGCGGUGAAUACGUUCCCGGGCCUU